This 504-nucleotide ribosomal RNA is filed under the name uncultured bacterium. RNAcentral describes it as "bacterial SSU rRNA". It matches the Rfam family "Bacterial small subunit ribosomal RNA", at positions 19 to 518 of the family's 1533-position model. The record is from RNAcentral.
AUGGCUCAGGAUGAACGCUGGCGGCGUGCCUAAUACAUGCAAGUCGAACGAGGUAGCAAUACCGAGUGGCGAACGGGUGAGUAACACGUAGGUAACCUGCCCUUAAGCUUGGGAUACCCAGAGGAAACUUGGCUAAUACCGGAUAACAACAGAGAAGGCAUCUUCUUUGCUUGAAAGGCCCCUUCAAGGGUCACUUAAGGAUGGACCUGCGGCGCAUUAAGCUAGUUGGUGAGAUAACAGCCCACCAAGGCGAGGAUGCGUAGCCGAACUGAGAGGUUGAUCGGCCACAUUGGAACUGAGACACGGUCCAAACUCCUACGGGAGGCAGCAGUAAGGAGUUUUCGGCAAUGGGGGAAACCCUGACCGAGCAACGCCGCGUGAGCGAUGACGGUCCUUUGGAUUUGUAAAGCUCUGUUGUAAGCCAUGAAUGACAGCUUGAGGAAAUGCAAGUUGUUUGACGACAGCUUACCAGAAAGCCACGGCUAACUACGUGCCAGCCGCAGC